UUCUCCCUUGUUUCGUUUCAUUACCAUCUUCUUAGAGUACAUAAUCCACAACUACGAGAUUUAUGAAAAUAAAAAAAAAAACUUAAAUUAUUGGGGGCAACACAAUAACAAAAUGAGAUAUCCUAUAGUUUUCUAGAAAAAUCUUAUGGUCACAUCACUUGAUCACAUUCGCAUAUGCCAACAAAGGCAUUGAAAAAAAAUCCUAACAUAGUACACUUCGGUUUAAGAUGAGACAAGCAUCCAAUUGACUGACAAUCAGAAUCUUGGGUACAAUUAAUAACAUCCGCUAUAAUGAAAAAAAAACAAAAAUAUGUUACUAAAAUGAGAUAAAAUAUUAUGUAAAAAGUAACUGAAAAUUUAAAAAGGAUUAAAAAAUUGAUUACCGUUAACGUUCAUUGCAACAAGAACUAGGGCAAG
Molecule: long non-coding RNA, 417 nt
Filed under: Medicago truncatula (barrel medic)
Lineage: Eukaryota; Viridiplantae; Streptophyta; Magnoliopsida; Fabales; Fabaceae
Description: lncRNA gene22347
Source: RNAcentral